Molecule: ribosomal RNA, 254 nt
Filed under: uncultured bacterium
Lineage: Bacteria
Description: partial 16S ribosomal RNA
Rfam family: Bacterial small subunit ribosomal RNA
Source: RNAcentral
UGCCCUACGGGGCGCAGCAGUGGGGAAUAUUGCACAAUGGGGGGAACCCUGAUGCAGCGACGCCGCGUGAGUGAAGAAGUAUUUCGGUAUGUAAAGCUCUAUCAGCAGGGAAGAAGAUGACGGUACCUGACUAAGAAGCCCCGGCUAACUACGUGCCAGCAGCCGCGGUAAUACGUAGGGGGCAAGCGUUAUCCGGAUUUACUGGGUGUCAAGGGAGCGUAGACGGCCAGACAAGUCAGAAGUGAAAACCCGCG